This 481-nucleotide ribosomal RNA is filed under the name uncultured bacterium. Its description in RNAcentral is "partial 16S ribosomal RNA". It matches the Rfam family "Bacterial small subunit ribosomal RNA", at positions 28 to 507 of the family's 1533-position model. The record is from RNAcentral.
GAUGAACGCUGGCGGCGUGCCUAACACAUGCAAGUCGAACGGAGAUUACGGACGGAAGUUUUCGGAUGGAAGCCUGUAAUUCUUAGUGGCGGACGGGUGAGUAACGCGUGGGCAACCUGCCCUAUACAGGGGGAUAGCAGCUGGAAACGGCUGGUAAGACCGCAUAAGUCGGUUAAAUCGCAUGAUUUGAUCGGGAAAUGAGCAAUCAGGUAUAGGAUGGGCCCGCGUCCGAUUAGCCAGUUGGCAGGGUAAAAGCCUACCAAAGCGACGAUCGGUAGCCGGACUGAGAGGUCGGACGGCCACAUUGGGACUGAGACACGGCCCAAACUCCUACGGGAGGCAGCAGUGGGGGAUAUUGCACAAUGGAGGAAACUCUGAUGCAGCGACGCCGCGUGAGUGAAGUAGUAUUUCGGUAUGUAAAGCUCUAUCAGCAGGGAAGAUGAUGACGGUACCUGACUAAGAAGCCCCGGCUAACUACGUG